CGACGCCGCGUGAGUGAAGAAGGUCUUCGGAUCGUAAAACUCUGUCCUUGGUGACGAAAAAAUGACGGUAGCCAAGGAGGAAGCCCCGGCUAACUACGUGCCAGCAGCCGCGGUAAUACGUAGGGGGCGAGCGUUGUCCGGAUUUACUGGGCGUAAAGGGUGAGUAGGCGGUAAUAUGUGUCAGAUGUAAAAGGCUAUGGCUUAACCAUAGUUGGCAUUUGAAACUGUAUUACUUGAGUGCAGGAGAGGUAAGUGGAAUUCCUAGUGUAGCGGUGAAAUGCGUAGAUAUUAGGAGGAACACCAGUGGCGAAGGCGACUUACUGGACUGUAACUGACGCUGAGUCACGAAAGCGUGGGUAGCAAACAGGAUUAGAUACCCUGGUAGUCCACGCUGUAAACGAUGAGUGCUAGGUGUUGGGUAGCGAUAUUCAGUGCCGAAGUAAACACAAUAAGCACUCCGCCUGGGGAGUACGGUCGCAAGACUGAAACUCAAAGGAAUUGACGGGGACCCGCACAAGCAGCGGAGCAUGUGGUUUAAUUCGAAGCAACGCGAAGAACCUUACCAAGGCUUGACAUCCCCUUGACCGGCACAGAGAUGUGCCCUCUCCUUCGGGAGCAAGGGUGACAGGUGGUGCAUGGUUGUCGUCAGCUCGUGUCGUGAGAUGUUGGGUUAAGUCCCGCAACGAGCGCAACCCUUAUCCUUAGUUGCCAGCAGGUAAAGCUGGGCACUCUAAGGAGACUGCCGAUGAUAAAUCGGAGGAAGGUGGGGAUGACGUCAAAUCAUCAUGCCCCUUAUGUCUUGGGCUACACACGUGCUACAAUGGUCGGUACAAAGGGCAGCGAAAGGAGUGAUCUGGAGCAAAUCCCAAUAAACCGAUCCCAGUUCGGAUUGUAGGCUGCAACUCGCCUACAUGAAGUCGGAGUUGCUAGUAAUCGCGAAUCAGAACGUCGCGGUGAAUGCGUUUCCCGGGUCUUGUACACACCGCCCGUCACACCAUGGAAAGUUUGGUAAUACCCAAAGUCGCUGAGCUAA
RNAcentral lists this ribosomal RNA (1033 nucleotides) under uncultured Sedimentibacter sp. RNAcentral's name for it is "bacterial SSU rRNA". It matches the Rfam family "Bacterial small subunit ribosomal RNA", at positions 392 to 1438 of the family's 1533-position model. The record is from RNAcentral. Lineage: Bacteria; Bacillati; Bacillota; Tissierellia.